Molecule: long non-coding RNA, 2479 nt
Organism: Alexandromys fortis (reed vole)
Lineage: Eukaryota; Metazoa; Chordata; Mammalia; Rodentia; Cricetidae
Exons: 5
Source: RefSeq, a predicted model, not a curated record
UAAAGAGUAACUUCCACUCUUAAAAAGGUUGAUUUGUUUUACUCCAGGAGUGAGUCAGCUGUGGAGUGUUGAGACAGGCUGGAGUUAAAGGGCAUCUGCCAGGUAAGAAGAAUUGUGAAACUACAGAUAUUUUCUUUGAUCUUCAAAAGAAGACUUUGGAUACAUUAUCUAUUGACUACAUCAAGAGUGGAAUGGUUUUUGCAUCCUGUCAAAGUUUCUGUGGUAAUAUGGAAUGGCCACUAAGAGCAGAAGCAGCAGUGGAGAGGAGCAAUCUGGAGCCUAGAAUAAGCUAGAUGUGCUGCAGAGGACAGAGCAGAAGAAUCCAUGCCCUGCUGGGGAGCCUAGAAAAUCGAAAUUAGUCCUGAGAAGAAAUAUAGAAAUGCAACUCGUUCAAGACUGCUACAAAACCAAAGCUUCCCUGGCAACCAGAGUAACCAGGCAACCAAAGUAACGAGGUCCUAACAGAGAGGACUGCCUUUGUGCUGUCAAGCCCGACUCUACCUCAGACCUCUGCUGUCCAGCUAGCCUUAGGGCUUCAUCUGGAAAAGGAUGAUAGGUCUUCAGGCCUCUCACAACUCUCCUCUUCUCCCUUCUCCAAAUUUCAGCUGUGCCGAGGAGAAAGUAACAGUGUGUGGAAAGUCCUGAGAUAGGCAACAAGAGACAGUUGAACUUCUGACACCAUGUGGUUAGGGGCACACACUCUCCUGUAUAAUAAUUUACCAGCAGCCUGCUUCCUUCAUAUGCACAUGCUGUGCAUGCACAACUGCCUCCAAGAAAUGCACCAAACAGCAUUGGCGCCUUGAACUUCCCACUUGUACCUGGCUAUGCAUGUUCCUAUCUCUGAGCAAUCAUCUUCUCUUCUCCUGGUAAUAACUAAAUUGUGGUUGUUUCUAUUCAAGUGUAUUUGCAAUGUAUCUGGGUAUGAAAAGUAGAAAGGAUAUUCCAGUAUGAGCAUUUUUUGUAUGCAUGCACAAUAAGACAUAAUUGUGUCCCUUAGUUAGCUUCUAGCGAGGAUCCUGUGAAUAAUGGGAAGUACAUAUUAUUGGAAUCAGGGCAUUGUGGGGAAGGACACACACAGAACAGGAAUACCUAUAUAACCCAAUCUAACAAACAAAAUAGAGAACCACCCAAACUGUACCUCUUUAGAAGUCAUUCCCUCCUUCCUUUAUACCCCGUAAGGAGAAACCUGAGAGGAUAUCCCGGAGCCCAUGAGUAGAACUCUUAUUCCUGCAGCCUGCUGUUAGUCCUGGCAGUAUCUGUAAUCAGGACCAUUGCAUUUGUUCAAAAUGAAGUUACCUUACUUCUUUCACAGAUCUGUGUGAACCGUUAUUUCUAAUUUUUGGAUAUGAAAACAAGAACCUGAAAAUACCCAACCCAGACCCCAGCACUAAAAACAAGGCUUACCUGGGUUUGAAUGCCCACUGCAAAAUUGUGAUGGUGUGAGUUACCACUGUGAAUGUGUUGGGAAGAGGGAACUUUACAUCACAAGGCUGUACACUUAAGACGACACAAGUGUCCCUCUUGAUCCUAUUCUACAGUGGAUAAACUAUGUGUGAGUAGAUUUGCUUUAAAAAGUAGCCUGUUGGGAAACAGCCUUCCCUGGCCCCCUCGUUCUCUCUCUCCACACCACGCGUCCUGCCAUGGUAAGAUCCAAUAAGAAGGCACUUGACAGAUGUAGCCCUUUGAUCAUAAACUUCCCACACUCUGCAACUUCAAUGAAGAAAUGUCUUUUCUUUACAAAUUACCCAGUGUGUGGUGGUCUGGGAUAGUAGCAGAAAAUGGGCUCAGACAGGGAUAUAUUAAAAGGUGUAAAAAAUGAAACUUUGAGAUAAUUAGCAUCCGUGUUCCUAGAUUAAACAUAUAACAAACCUGACUGAGAAGUUCACUUCUCCUCGCUUAGUGAUUGGCAUCACAUAGUUCACGUUAGCACGGUUGUUAGCAGCAGCGAGGUGAUUAUGUCACAUUUCCUUCUUCCCUUCUUGUCUCUCUUCAUUCAUUAUUCAUCCUUAAGUUAAAGCUCUUCAGUUGCCCUGUCCAAAACUUCCAGGAGAAAUGCUUGCCAAAAUUAUGAGAGGUCCACAUUCAGAAGGACAUGGAAAAAAAAAAAAAAAACCUUGAGAUAUUCACUUCAAAUAGUUGAGCACUGUGACAUAUAAAUUAGAUGCCAAUAAAAUUGCUACAAAACAAACAGAAAUCGUGAGUUAACUGGGAAAUUGAUACCAAUAAAAUUAUCAGAAUAAUUAAAGUCUGCUUACCAGUUCAUUCACAAAUUCUCUCAGUGUAUUGUUCAUUAAACAUUUUAUGCAACAAUGGAAUUAGACUCAUGCAUAUAAAUCAGUCUCCACCCUGCCACCAUCAUCAGGAGAAAAGAGGCAGAUGUGUCAAAUAUCAUUUAGCACAAACAGAAGGGUACUGAGUCAACGAGAACAGCUUCAGAAUUGAGAUAUGAGGAGAGGGGGGGUUCAGGAGGGGGGAUGGA